RNAcentral lists this ribosomal RNA (756 nucleotides) under uncultured bacterium. Its description in RNAcentral is "bacterial SSU rRNA". It matches the Rfam family "Bacterial small subunit ribosomal RNA", at positions 8 to 796 of the family's 1533-position model. The record is from RNAcentral.
AGAGUUUGAUCAUGGCUCAGAAUCAACGCUGGCGGCGUGCCUAACACAUGCAAGUCGCACGAGAAAGGGUAGCAAUACCUGAGUACAGUGGCGCACGGGUGAGUAACACGUGAAUAAUCUACCUCCGAGUGGGGAAUAACUUAGGGAAACCUGAGCUAAUACCGCAUAACACUUACGAGUCAAAGCAGCAAUGCGCUUGGAGAGGAGUUCGCGGCAGAUUAGUUAGUUGGCGGGGUAAUGGCCCACCAAGACGAUGAUCUGUAUCCGGCCUGAGAGGGCGCACGGACACACUGGAACUGAAACACGGUCCAGACUCCUACGGGAGGCAGCAGUGGGGAAUUUUGCGCAAUGGGGGAAACCCUGACGCAGCAACGCCGCGUGGAGGAUGAAAUCCCUUGGGAUGUAAACUCCUUUCGAUCGGGACGAUUAUGACGGUACCGGAAGAAGAAGCCCCGGCUAACUUCGUGCCAGCAGCCGCGGUAAUACGAGGGGGGCGAGCGUUGUUCGGAAUUAUUGGGCGUAAAGGGUGCGUAGGCGGUUUGAUAAGUCUGAUGUGAAAUCUAUGGGCUCAACCCAUAGUCUGCAUUAGAAACUGUCGGGCUUGAGUAUGGGAGAGGUGAGUGGAAUUUCCGGUGUAGCGGUGAAAUGCGUAGAUAUCGGAAGGAACACCUGUGGCGAAAGCGGCUCACUGGACCAUUACUGACGCUGAUGCACGAAAGCUAGGGGAGCAAACAGGAUUAGAUACCCCCGUAGUCC